UGGAGAGUUUGAUCCUGGCUCAGGACGAACGCUGGCGGCGUGCUUAACACAUGCAAGUCGAACGGAAAGUGCUCUUCGGAGUGACUCGAGUGGCGAACGGGUGAGUAACACGUGGGUGAUCUGCCCUGCACUUUGGGAUAAGCCUGGGAAACUGGGUCUAAUACCGAAUAGGACCAUGGCAUUCAUGUGCUGUGGUGGAAAGCUUUUGCGGUGUGGGAUGGGCCCGCGGCCUAUCAGCUUGUUGGUGGGGUAAUGGCCUACCAAGGCGACGACGGGUAGCCGGCCUGAGAGGGUGACCGGCCACACUGGGACUGAGAUACGGCCCAGACUCCUACGGGAGGCAGCAGUGGGGAAUAUUGCACAAUGGGCGCAAGCCUGAUGCAGCGACGCCGCGUGAGGGAUGACGGCCUUCGGGUUGUAAACCUCUUUCAGUAGGGACGAAGCGCAAGUGACGGUACCUAUAGAAGAAGGACCGGCCAACUACGUGCCAGCAGCCGCGGUA
Molecule: ribosomal RNA, 502 nt
Filed under: Mycolicibacterium rhodesiae
Lineage: Bacteria; Bacillati; Actinomycetota; Actinomycetes; Mycobacteriales; Mycobacteriaceae
Description: bacterial SSU rRNA
Rfam family: Bacterial small subunit ribosomal RNA
Source: RNAcentral